RNAcentral lists this long non-coding RNA (6295 nucleotides) under Musa acuminata (dwarf banana). RNAcentral describes it as "long non-coding RNA (MACU_LNC004520)". Lineage: Eukaryota; Viridiplantae; Streptophyta; Magnoliopsida; Zingiberales; Musaceae. The record is from RNAcentral.
CUGGCCUUCCUCGACGGCAUCGAAUCUCAAUGCCCUCUUUGGAUCGAGCUGUCUUCGCCUCAGGAGGUACGCUUCUUUGCCAUGAAAUCGUGUAAUUGCUUCUUUUUCUUCUGCCCUUGGUAUGAUCGUUGUAUUAAUCGAACGGUGUGAGCUUUCUUCUUGUACGCUUCUGUUGGUUUGGGGUUUGCGUCGGGUUAUGAGAUUCUUUGGGUUUUGAUUUUUCGUGGAAUGUUUUAAGUCCGUGGCAAGAUCGAAAGCCCUCAUGAUUGUUUAUUGAUAUGAUGUUUUGACAUUUUUGGGUUCCCGUGUGUUGUCAUAUGGAAAUAUGGUAGUUAUUUGGUUUUGAUUGAUGCAUUUGUAGUUGCUUUGUAAUUAUGUGGUUGAUUGUUUUGUUUCUUUUUUCAAUUUAAUGAAAUAUGCCGUACAUGAAGCAUGAAAAACCAAACUUUUAUGAUAUCUGAAGCUUUAGAUUAUGCUCAGUUUGAAUUUUUGGAGCGUAUUCUUUCGUUUGUUUGAAUAGGCUGCUUUAAUUUUUUUAAUUAAAAAAAAAGGAAUUGGUGCAUAAUCUAGCUGAUUCAAGAAGCAGAGACUGAGGGAGAUAAAGGGAUGGUAGAACUAGGAGUUAUUUUUACAAAGUUGGUUGCCGACUGUUUUAGAGUCCUAUACAUGCAAUACAGAUGGAUUCCUAAUAUUACUCAAAAAGCCAGGAUUUUUCCCCCUCCUCCUCAAGAGUUCUAUUGGAUGCUAGUUUUACUUGAUCUUUCUAUCAAAAUUGGAUGUUAAAGAAUAUGCAAGGCUCAUGGUUUCUUCUCUUGCUAGAGAACAAGCCGAGAUGCAUUUGUCAGUUUUGAUGGUGUAAGUUGUAAAAGAUAACUCAUGGUAUCUGCGUGUAAAUUUUGUUAUUUUGCCUUUGAUUGGGCAUUAUAUUUUUCAUUCUUAAGCUGAAUGAUGUCCACUUGACAGAAUCAGAGUGUCAGCCAUUUUCUACCACAUAAUGCCACUUUCUGUGAGUUUUAACUAGGUAUGCUUAUUAUUUAACUUCUAGUAUGCACUUCCUGAAGCCAGAAGAUCAGCUAUUAGUUUAGGAGCAUUUGGUUUCCAGGCUAACUUCUUGAAGGGAUUAACAAGGUCAUUUUUAUUAUAACUUGCUAUUCUAUAUGAUCAGGAGCCCCACUGAUGGCAGCUAAAUUGAAGAAGUGAAUAAAAUAUUGUAUGUCUGUACAAAGUAGGUGUUGCUCACAAUUUUCUUAUUGUGCUCUAUUGUCCUUUCCCUAUCUGAAUAUAUACACUUCCCUUCUAAUUUCUUUUUUCCCUAUCUGAAUAUAUACACUUACCUUCUAAUUUCUUUUACUCCUCUUUGAUAAAUUUGUGUUCACAUAUGAUAGGAAAGAUUGUUAUGUCAUGUACCCUUUAGAAUGAAGGAAAAAAAUUAUUAGAUAAUUGUAAGAUCAAACAUGCUCAUGAACAAUUAAGAUAGUUUUGAUUAGAGUAUAAAUGAGGGAAAACUGUUGAUGCAUCGGUUUAAAUGAGAGAAGCCAAUUAUGGUUAGUGAAAAGAAGAUCUAAGAGUAACAUUAGAAAUGAUAGAAGAAUAUUGGUGGUUUUUAAUUAGAUAGUGAUAUGCUCUCAAUACUCAACGGAGCUUGAUGGCGGAGGACAAGAUGCAUGUAACUGGCAUCAUUGUUGUUGACUAAUCAGACUAGUCCUGAUCUUUGGAAAAAAAAAAUUCUCAACUACUUAUGACUACUAAUCUAAUCUUGUGUAACAAUGGCCUGUUUUAGAUAUCAUAUGGGACAUAUUAUACUGAAAUUAUAGUGGGGUUGCACAGCUGUAUAAAAGUAAAGAGGACGUGCAUGGAGGAAAGGAUCAAGAAGAAAAGGAAAGUGAAAAAUGAUGGAAAAAUAUUUCUCAGUUGUCUCAAACAAAUUCUCCAAUCCAUUCAGUCGACCCUGUAAUUUCUUAGCAACUAGAGCUGGCAAUUGAUCCGUGAUUCUUGCAUAGAUUUUGCAAGGCAAUCCUUUGAUGCUGCUUCGACAAUUGCGAUGGAUUGUUUGUGUUUGUUACUGAAAUUGCUAACCACUUCUUUCAAUUUGUCUGUGAAUUACGGACUGCAGAUAAAUCUGUUUUUUUCUUUUUCAUUUUGAAGGUGAGUGGAGAGACAUUUGAGAGAGAGCUAUCUGGCAAGCAAAGUGCUUAUUACUCUAUCCUUUUCUAUGCAUCGUGGUGCCCGUUCUCAUCCAAUACUCGACCUAUGUUUGAUGCUCUUAGUUCCAUGUUUCCUCAAAUAAAACAUUUAUUAGUUGAAGAAUCAUCAGUCAUGCCAAGGUAUGCAGUACCAAAUUAUACAGGUUCAUUUGCCUUACUAAGAUAUGCAUCCAUGCUUUAUGGACAUUUUUAUUUCAUUUGAUAAAUUUUCACAUGCUAUCCAGUGUCCUCUCAAGAAAUGGUAUUCACAGCUUUCCAGCUGUAAUGCUGAUCAAUGGGACAACAAGGGUUCAAUAUCAUGGCUCAAGGGAUUUGACUUCCCUGGUCCAAUUCUACAAGAAAAAUACAGGUACAUUUCUUUGUCUGCAUUUGUUUUCUUCAAACUGUUCUACUUGUUUUGAGUAGUGGAAUCUAAUGUCCAUUUAUCAGCCAAAAUAUCUGAUGCAUAUGCGAAGCGAAUCCUUAUGAAAUUUCUCAGACUUCCAUUUUCUUGGUUAUAGAUCUAGGUCUGCCCUCUUGUGAAAAAAGUACUUACUUUUGAUCAUAUAGUACAUUUGGCUGUAAAAGAGCAGAUGAAGUGCCUUCUUUUUGACUUGAUUUAUCCAUUGAGGCCUUUGUUAUUCUUGAUCUUAUCACUUUACUACAUAUUUACAAUUGCAUGGCUGAGACACUAGGAACUAGAAGGUGGAAAAAUAUGAAAUGUUAAUUAUACCUGUAACUCUUUUCUAGUUUCUUUAUUUUGUUGCAUACUUAUCUUCUGCUAUUCUUAUACAGGUUUGAAUCCAGUCAUAUAUCUGGAGAUUGAACAGCUCAGUUCAGAACGUGUGAGGUCCCAUGUACCUCAUGUUGAGUCUGCAAGGGAGUUAAUAUCACAUGAACCUUACUUAACAUUCAGCAUAUUUUUCAUCUGUCUGAAGAUAAUUAUGUGCUUCUUUCCUGUGAUCUACUCCCGCAUCAAAGCUUUUUGGGUCUCACAUGCCUGGCCUCUGAACUCAAGGGUUCUUUGUGAAUCAAGUCAACUACUGGAGCAAGCGCUGCAUGUAAUUGAUGUUAAAAGGCUCUGGAGCAACCUUAGGCUCUGCAAUAAGACGAGGAACUUUCAGAAAGGGGCAAAUAAUGCCCGGGCUUGGGCAUCUUCGCUUGCUUCUGUCUCACUGAGCGAGUCAUCUUCCUCGAGACUGGCCCUCGUCGACUCGUAAUCUUCUCUUUUGAUCAUUGUGGUUAAAGAAGGAAAGCCUUUGGUGGAUUGAAUGUUCACCAUACUUUCAUAGAGCAACGUAGUUUGUUUUCCUCUAGCCGUGUAACUUUUCUUUCUCUUAACGUUAGGCAGAUGGGAAGCAAAUUACAUGUAAAUUUUUGAAUACGAAAUCUUUUUGUAUAUUAUUUACUGUGGCUGCAUUUUUAGGAAAAUGCAGAGUCCAUAGUUGUUGUUCAAUGUUAUCUUUCCUUCUGUAAACCCUUUUCAUGUCUGAAUAGUUCUGUUUAACUAUGAGCUAACAGUAGCUUUAUAGCCUUCACUUCAAGCUGAUUUUUCUUGUCUUCAAAAUCUUCCUGGAACAUCUUUGAAUAGUUAUGUUGCAGGUUGGCUUCAACUCCAGUGAUAUUUUGUGCAUCUGCUUGGGGAACGUGUUUGUUGGAAACACAGGUAAGUGAACCAGCUCUGUUCUAGGCAAGCAAUUUAGCUAUGGCAACUACGAGAUUGUUUACUUAAAACAUGCAUCUUUCUUUCUUUGUGCUGUUGCUUCACUGGGUAAAACUUUAGUGGUAAAAAUUACGAUAUCAUUCUUUACCAGUUAAGCUAAUGGAUUUUUGAUGUGGUUUCUAAUGUUGAUACUUGAACAGAUUGGUCUGAUGGGAUGGAGACGGGGCACCAAGGCAUUGUAAGGUUGUGCACAAAGGUACACUGAUUUGCCUUGUGGCCUAUCUUUCUCCUAUUAUCUGUCUUCACGUUAUUGUGUCCUUUUGGGGAGAUGUUUUGCGGUAUUCUCAGAGUGACAUGUUCCUGGUCCCUCAUCACCAACACAACCCCUUCAUUGGCGAUUGAAUACCCAGUGCACAUGCUCUGGAAUCAUUCUAAAGUUUCACUGAUCUUUAGGAUCAUAGGCUUUCUUUUAUAUACUUGUUUUGUGUUUUUUUUUUACAUGAAAGGGUUGGGUGAUUAAGUUUACCAAGAUCCUAUUUGGGUUCUGAUUAGUGUUGGACUUGAUCUGUUUUCCUUUUCUCAUCAAACAUGUAUAGCAUGAUAACUAGUGUUUAUUCUUGUAGAAAUAAAGUUUUUAGAUUUUCUCAGAUUUAUAACAGUAAGAUCACUUCUUACUGUUAAAGAUUAAUGAUUAAGCAACUAGCAUUGACAGCCACAUUGUGGAUUGAAAUGGAUCUUCCUUAAAAAGAGUAUCAUUUUUCCUGUGGGCUAUUAUUCUUUGUCAGGCAAAAGAACAAGAAGGCCCCGUCAUUUUUGUCAGCAGUUGUUGCAGAACAGGGAUAACAUUGCAGGCUGCCUCUGUAGAAAUCAAAGAGGUAAAGUGCAGUACCCAAAGCUGUCCAUAUGUUUAUGGACCAUCAUGGGCUUCAUAAUUUUAACAACGCCAAGAGAGAGAGAGAGAGGGGAUGCCCUUUUAAUUGUGUUUGAUUUGUUACUGAAGAUGGAUCUUUUUGACUCAGAAUAUGGACGCUAUAAAUAAUUGAGAUGCUCGUGUGCCGCAGUGGUGGUGGGAUCAUGCCAUAAUUGAGCGCCCAUGUGAACUAUGGACAGCCACCGGCAGGACACUUUCCAGCUUCCACGCUUUGGACUCUUGUGAAAGCAAUGUGUAGAAGGACUGCUGUGUGGUAAGCCAGUCUUAUCUUUUGACGAUUGGGAAUUCUCAUGUUGGACUCCCAUCUCAUCCGAGUCAUUGCUGCCAUAAGAAGACAUUAAUUAUUUCUAGGCUUACAAAAGAAAAAUUCUUUUUGUGUUUCUUCAGCUCUAAAAUUCUCAAAGUACAUAAAAUUUGCUUAUACUUUGAAAUUAAUUAUCUUCAGGUUUCUUGAAGAAAUUAAUUAUUUCUAGGCUUACAAAAGAACAUUUCCUUUUGAGUUUCUUCAGCUCUAAAAUUCUCAAAGUACAUAAAAUUUGCUUAUGCUUUGUUGCUCCAAUUGUGAUAGAAAGAAUGAAUCACAUUGUAAUAAACACCAUGGAAACUGAUACAGCGUUCACCACCCACGUACGGUCAUCAUGCAUACACUACACUCUCCCCCUCCACCAUGCAAAAGAAGGAAGACCGAACGUGAUGAGUCACGGCAGGGAAGGUGAUGAACACGUCGCUCAGCAGAGGAGAUAACCGAAGGCCAGGGCGGCCACCGACGCCAGGGCCGCGGCAGCGGUGGACGACGUGGGGGUGCCGGAGGUGGGGCUGGGGGCGGGUGCCUGCGCCGCCGCGGCCUUCUGCACCAUGGACGCGGCCAUCACGACGGCCAUCAUGGCCAUGGCGAACAACUUGAGCUUGAGAGCUGCCUCCAUUGCUAGUAGCACUUUAAGGCACAACUACCGAGCACAGAGGAAUGGAGGGAGGAGAUGUAGAGAGGAGGCAAUGCAGUUCGGGCCGUGGAAGGAGGGGGAGGGAGAGGAGGGUUUUUGUAAGGAGACUACCAAGCUUGGGUCUGGGACAUGACAGGCUGUUUUCGCUUGUGUCUUCUUCCUCCUCCUCCUCCUCCUCCAUGUGUUUUGUUAGUUGGAACGUCUUAACAUACACGCUGUCGGAAGAGAUUUCCUUGUUUGUGUUCUCUUCCUUCUUUCUUUGUUCGAGGAAGAUGGGUUGUCCAUAGGUUGGUGCCAAAAUCUAGCUGGAAUGACAAUUGCAUGAUCCAAACUUUAGCUGUGCCCAAUCUGUCAAGAGCAACCACCGAUCUUUGAUUGUUUGUUCUUCUUUCUUCUUUAGCUGCUUCACUGUCUUCAAAGAAUUCCAUCAGAAGCUGGAGGAAGACUUUGUCAAUGGAACUCGGUUUCUGGUCACAUUUCUUCUGGAUGAAUUUUGGGAUGCAUGAUCACUCUCGAUAAUAAUUUUAAUGGUGUAAUUCUAUUAGAUUACUUGUUUUUUUAUUUCUUUUCAUCACAG